RNAcentral lists this ribosomal RNA (495 nucleotides) under uncultured bacterium. RNAcentral describes it as "partial 16S ribosomal RNA". It matches the Rfam family "Bacterial small subunit ribosomal RNA", at positions 28 to 507 of the family's 1533-position model. The record is from RNAcentral.
GACGAACGCUGGCGGCGUGCCUAAUACAUGCAAGUAGAACGCUGAAGGAGGAGCUUGCUUCUCUGGAUGAGUUGCGAACGGGUGAGUAACGCGUAGGUAACCUGCCUGGUAGCGGGGGAUAACUAUUGGAAACGAUAGCUAAUACCGCAUAAUAGUAGAUGUUGCAUGACAUUUACUUAAAAGGUGCAAUUGCAUCACUACCAGAUGGACCUGCCUUGUAUUAGCUAGUUGGUGGGGUAACGGCUCACCAAGGCGACGAUACAUAGCCGACCUGAGAGGGUGAUCGGCCACACUGGGACUGAGACACGGCCCAGACUCCUACGGGAGGCAGCAGUAGGGAAUCUUCGGCAAUGGACGAAAGUCUGACCGAGCAACGCCGCGUGAGUGAAGAAGGUUUUCGGAUCGUAAAGCUCUGUUGUAAGAGAAGAACGAGUGUGAGAGUGGAAAGUUCACACUGUGACGGUAUCUUACCAGAAAGGGACGGCUAACUACGUG